Plodia interpunctella (Indianmeal moth) is the source of this 4372-nucleotide RNA transcript. It is a transcript of the gene named neuronal synaptobrevin-like, with no coding region annotated. The record is from RefSeq and is a predicted model, not a curated record. The transcript has 8 exons. NCBI's taxonomy places the organism in Eukaryota, Metazoa, Arthropoda, Insecta, Lepidoptera, Pyralidae.
CCCUCUUUCAUACAAAUUGGGAAACCAACGCGCGGAAGGUUUCUCGUGAUAUAUUUUCGGAAAAUCAACGUUUUAAAACCACUGUCCUUACUAAUCUACUCAAAUAAAUACUCAUUUUAGACUGUGUGUGUUCAUAAUAGUAAUUUUGUGAGUUCCAGUAUAAUAUUCGCUUGAAAGGUGUGACUAAAAAUAGAUGGUAUCCCGACUUAAGUACUUGGAAUUCUUAGUUUGAGCUUCCCAUUCAUAAAAUACAUUCACUUGGUGCUGAGCUGUGAAGUAACUCAGGUCGUUGGUUAUCUUAUAGUGAAUAAUUAAUCUGACUGAAGUUUAGAAUACUGUGUGGAGACAAAUCGAUAGGGGGUGGCCUCUGGACUUACAGUUCACGAACGGAAACAGGACAGAAGGAAAAUGGCGACGGAGGGUGGUCUGGCGCCAGCCGGGGACGGCGACAUGCCCGUCGGCGGGCCCAAGACCCCGCAGCAGAUAGCGGCCCAACGUCGACUCCAGCAGACGCAGGCCCAGGUUGAUGAGGUGGUGGACAUCAUGAAGACCAAUGUGGAGAAGGUGCUGGAGCGAGAUCAGAAACUGUCCGAGCUAGAUGACAGAGCAGACGCUUUGCAGCAGGGUGCAUCGCAGUUUGAACAGCAGGCUGGAAAACUGAAAAGCAAAUUCUGGUUGCAGAACUUAAAGAUGAUGAUAAUCGCAGCCGUCAUUGGAAUCAUAAUUUUGGCCCUAAUCAUCGCCAACUUUGUGUGAACAAGUUUCGGUAACCGCAGUUUAAGUUAAAAGUUAAUGUUAAUAAUUAAAACCUAUGUUAUUUAUACAAAAAUACACAAUGGUUUGACUUAAAGCCUUUUUUAUUGGUCUGUAAAUUAUAUACUGGAGGAUUGCAGCAAAAAUAUAAUGAAAGAGGUUUAUGAUUUCUACUAUCAUGAAGAUCAACAUCAUCCUAAUGAAAGCGAAAAAUUUUACAUACAACCAGUAGAUACUACUUUUGUUAUAAAUAUCCAAAAAUUCACUCGCCAUCCAUUCAGUAUAAAAAUUAUGUGUAAAACACGCAUUUAUUUUAAAUACCUAAUCUAAUCUGAACGUAAUUUAAACCCGUGAUGAAAUAGUGUAUAUUUUAGAUGAACUUUCUUUUUGAAAAUUUACCGUUUUACCGUCACUGUACGCUUAGAUAAGGCUUAUCGAAGACAUUCAUAUCCGAAAGGCUAAUAUUUUGUUCAAGAACGCAUAUUUUGUUCAAUUUGGACCAAAUUUCCUAAAUCGAUUGUUACUAAGCAUUUAUUUUUGUAUCUUCUUCUUAUAACUUUAUUUACGACACUUUUUAAUCGUUGAUCUUUGAUAUAAUCAUACUAUAUGCGUCAUUUUAAUAGAUGUUAAAUAAAAUAGGUGAAAAUAGCUUAGAUAAAAAAACAGUCACAACCCGAGUAACAUAUGUAGCUAAUGACAAGAUUUUAGACAUCAAGGGAUGUUUUUAUUUUUAGAAUUUUCAAAUAUAAUGUUGUACUUACAUCAGCUGAUUUUUAGAUGUCUUUAUUUAUAUAUGUUGUUUAUAUAUCACAUCUAAUUCUAGUUCUUGUUUGUUACUUGAAAUACAUGCAAAUAAAGUGUAGGUAAGUAAACCAUUACUUUUAAUUUCAUUAGGCUAAGGGCCUAAAUCGCGCGCUACCUAAAUGUUAACAAACCACGGUAUCUAUAUACUCUUCAUGAAUCCUAUCAAUGGACAAAACAAUCAUAUCAGCCUAAAUAUCCCAAAAUUGUGAAAUAAAUUUCAUCGUUACACGUUUUUAUCCCAAAAAACAGUAUAAAAUGUAUUUAAUCAGAUAAAUUACCAAAUUGUUUUAAUUUUGAAAGUAAACUAAUAUCUUAAUAUACACCGGUAAGUAUAUCUAUUUGAAUCGAAGAUUUGUACGUAUUCGAGUUGUUAUAUAAAUAAGUAAUAGUAUGUAGUACCUAUUAAUAAUACUUACUUAUAUAAGAUUGCAUUAUAUUCAUUAGCAUUAUUUUGACGUUGGCGAUUUUGAACAGAAAUUAGAAAGUGGUUUCAUUUUACUCUUCGAUUGUCCUUAAUUAAUCAUAGCAAUAAAGAAUUCGAUUUCAAGUUUCAUUCAGAAAUUUUUAUUUUUUAUAUUAUAUAUAUCUAUCAUCCUGUAUUUUAUUUCCGAAUGGCCAGUGGCAUUUGAAGAUUUAAAAUAAAUAUGUAAUCAAACAUCGCUAAUCUGUGUGUAUAGGGUAUGUAAAAUGGCUUCAUAGUUAGACUUUAAAAAAUCAUCUACCUACUUAGCUAAAAUGCGAAGUUAAUCGAAUCAAAACAUAUUGUUAUUACAUAAGGGAUAUUUGGCCAGUAUGAUACUUAUAAAUAUGUUUAACAACAUAUAAGUUAUUAAUCAUAAUUUUGAGUAUGGUUGUAGGUACUUAAAUUAUUUCAUGUUUAUUUAAAUAUAAUCGUAAAUUUUGGUUAUAAGUAUUCAUACCAAAAUUUAACAUCAUCUAGUCGUAAUCCAUAAUAAUCUUAAAUUUUAAAACACAAUAUGAGAUAGACCUACGUAGAACCUAAUAAAAAUCGUACCGCCAUCGAGAUUCCUAUUUAAUUAUAAUUCGAUCACGGAAUUUGACGGGACUCAACAGAGUCCCGAUUUCAUAAAUUUUCUUAAGAAAUUAUCUUUAAAUAAUUAUUUGCUUUGAUUAAACUUUUUUCUUCUUUUAGUCACACACAACUGUGUUUUAAAAAUUAAGAGGUAAAGUUGUUCACUGUAAGGUAAACAAAAACACACCAGAAUGUAUGUUAAAUUAGCUAUAAGUACUUAUUGUUGAUAAACAAAAUUACCUACCUAUCAUUGUUUUAAAGUCAAUACAAAAAUAAUUAUUUUGUUGACAACAAAUUGUUUUGUUGUCAAAUUAACCUACCAACUUCGUUCUGGUUACAUUGGUUGGCGACAAUGAUAGAUGUUUUCGGGUACUUAUUGAUUCUGUUUGUUACGAUUAAAAAAAACUCUAUAAUGUAGGUAAUGUAAUGCUUGUACUUAGUCUUAUCGAUAGGAUCUUCAAGUAUAUAUUUUAUUCGUUUUUUCUGUAACUUUGAUUUAUGCUUUCUUUAUGUUGUAUAAUGAAAUCAACAGUCAUCAAGAUACAGCUAAAAACAUUACCGUAAUUUGCGUCUCGCUGUCGGGUAAAAAGAGGCCUUCUAUAAAUGAAGUUACACGCGACUUUUUUGUCGUGCGUUUUAUUGAAUUAGAAGAAUAAUUUAAUUGUGCCGACAUGCAUGCCGAACUAAGCAAGAUUGACUUCAAAGUCAAGUCCAAGUUUCCAGGCAAAUAGUUCGGACUUGAAAAAAAUUGGGUUGUGUAGUUAGGUACAUGUUACCACUCAAAAAAUGAUGACACAAAAAAGGUUGAAAAGCUGCAUAUAAUGUGAGCCAAUCUAGGAAAUGAGACGAAAACAUAUAGAAUUUUACUCGUAUAGAUCGUAACAAUCAAGGAUUUUAAAAUCAUUUGAUAAAAAUAUAAUUUUACAAAGACCUAACGCGCCACGGCACACUAGAUUUUUUUAAAACUUGUGCCGCGCCUGUGCGUAUGUGCUAUAUGGGUCAAUAGCUGUAUGGGCUUAGAUCCCUUUCCUUAUGGAUAAAUUAAACCAAAAAAAAUAUGGUCAUAAUGGCAUGGAUUUAGUAAGUACUUGUUUCUAAUUCCAUGGGUAUUGGUCACUAGAAUCUAUCUUAGGUGUGUUUAACAACGAAUUUUGUAAACAAAAUUUAUUUACAAGUUAUGUGGAAUAGGAGUCAAAAAGGCGCAAAUAAGUAAUAGUGCAUCCUGACCCAAAUGUCAAAUGAUUUUAAGAACAGAUAUAAUACCUUCAUAAGAACAGUUAAUACUUGCUUAUGUAACAAUAGAAUUAAAUAAUGUAAAGUACGUAGUUUUAGCACCAAUUUUCUUAGUUUAGUUAAUUCACGUAACCAACGUUAUUUCCUAUUUGAUAUAUUUUGGGAGGAAGAGGGACAGUAGAAAAAAAAUUAGGAAAAAUUAUUAAUCUAUUGAAAUAUCUCGUUUGGAUAAUGAAUGGUUAUUAAAAUGUUAUAUCUUGAUCCUACGGAUAUUGUUGUAAAAUGUAAGUAAGUACUUAACACGAUUUUAUUUAAUAAUCAUAUCCAAUGUAUCCUCAAAUGGAAUACUUAUAUUAAUAAUCAUAUGUGUGUAACUGGUUUAGAGUCGAUUUGUUGUUCAGUGUAUUACAUUACAGAGGUGAAGCCGGAAUUCUAGACUUACUCGGGAAUUUAAUUACCUACUGAAUGUAUGUACCUAUGUACCAAAAUGUAAUUAUUGCUUCACUAAAAUAAAAGCAAGUUUAAUAAAUUGACUGCUGUUUCAUUUUA